This 978-nucleotide ribosomal RNA is filed under the name mouse gut metagenome. RNAcentral's name for it is "bacterial LSU rRNA". It matches the Rfam family "Bacterial large subunit ribosomal RNA", at positions 1945 to 2925 of the family's 2925-position model. The record is from RNAcentral.
ACGGUCCUAAGGUAGCGAAAUUCCUUGUCGGGUAAGUUCCGACCCGCACGAAUGGAGUAACGACUUGGGCACUGUCUCAACAGGAGACCCGGCGAAAUUGUAGUAUACGUGAAGAUGCGUAUUAACCCGCGACUGGACGGAAAGACCCCGUAGAGCUUUACUGUAACUUGAUAUUGAAUCUCGGCAAUUGAUGCACAGGAUAGGUGGGACGCUUUGAAGUCAUCCUCUCGGGGGUGAUGGAGCGGACGUUGGGAUACCACUCUUCAAUUGCUGCGGUUCUAACCGGACGCCAGGAAUCUGGGUUUGGGACAUUGUCAGGUGGGCAGUUUGACUGGGGCGGUCGCCUCCUAAAAAGUAACGGAGGCGCCCAAAGGUUCCCUCAGGACGGUUGGAAAUCGUCCGACGAGUGCAAAGGCAUAAGGGAGCUUAACUGUGAGACUGACAGGUCGAACAGAUGCGAAAGCAGGGCUUAGUGAUCAGGCGGUAGAGAAUGGAAUUGCCGUCGCUUAACGGAUAAAAGUUACCUCGGGGAUAACAGGCUUAUCUCCCCCAAGAGUUCACAUCGACGGGGAGGUUUGGCACCUCGAUGUCGGCUCGUCACAUCCUGGGGCUGGAGUCGGUCCCAAGGGUUCGGCUGUUCGCCGAUUAAAGUGGCACGCGAGCUGGGUUCAGAACGUCGUGAGACAGUUCGGUCCCUAUCCAUCGUGGGCGUAGGAUAUUUGAGAGGCGUUGUCCUUAGUACGAGAGGACCGGGAUGAACGCACCUAUUGUGCACCUGUUGUCGCGCCAGCGGCAUAGCAGGGUAGCGAAGUGCGGAUGAGAUAAACGCUGAAAGCAUCUAAGUGUGAAACUCACCUCAAGAUAAGAUAUCCCAUCGAAAGAGUAAGACCCCUUGCAGACUACAAGGUUGAUAGGUCGGAGGUGUAAGCGCAGUAAUGCGUGUAGCUGACCGAUACUAAUAGGUCGAGGGCUUGAACU